CUAGUGGUCGCUGGCUGUGGUCUUGCGCUCAGAUGCUCGGAUCCUCCUCUCCUUUGCGUUCCAGUGAAUCUGCGUCACUUGCAAAUCGCUUUUGGCUUCCUCCUGGUUUUCAGGCAAAUGCAAAUGGUACCUACAGAGCAAUUUGUCAAGUGUGUUAAUGAAGUCCAGACAGGAGAUCUCCUGCACAGCCCGCGUUCAGAAGGCGACUUCUGAUCAAAGACAAUUAUUGAGUGAGCCCAAGGUGAGCUGCUUCUCUGCCGUUUUAAUCCAGUUAUCUGCCUGGUUUUGGAGAUGUGGCAGAGGCGAGACUGACCCGUCCUGGGGAC
RNAcentral lists this long non-coding RNA (326 nucleotides) under Columba livia (rock pigeon). RNAcentral's name for it is "partial uncharacterized LOC106146057". Lineage: Eukaryota; Metazoa; Chordata; Aves; Columbiformes; Columbidae. The record is from RNAcentral.